AGUGAAGCAGCAAAAGCUCAAAUUUGAAAUCUGGCACUAGCCCGAGUUGUAUUUUGCAGAGGUAGCUUUGACAACGGCCUGGAUUGAAGUGCCCUGGAAAGGGACAUCAUGGAGGGUGAUAGUCCCGUGAGCGGUCUAUGUGUCUGCGUCAUUAUUAAAAGCGCCUUCAAUGAGUCGAGUUGUUUGGGAAUGCAGCUCAAAAUGGGAGGUAAAUUCCUUCUAAAGCUAAAUAUUAGCCAGAGACCGAUAGCGAACAAGUAGAGUGAUCGAAAGAUGAAAAGCACUUUGGAAAGAGAGUUAAAUAGUACGUGAAAUCGUUGAAAGGGAAGCAUUUGCAAUUGGAUCUCACGAGGAAGGGUUCAUCCCCGCUGCUGCAGGGUGCAUUUCCUUCUCUCAUAGUGGGUCAGGGUCAGCUUGAGUAGUGGUAUAAUUGGAAGUGGAAUGUGGCUCUGUAUUGAGUUCUUAUAGCCAUUUUCAGACGCCAUUCACUUGGGCUGAGGUCGGCGUUGGGUUAUAUAGGUUGGAGAUGUAAAGUAGAUGAGUGGCAUUUUGUUAUUCUUCGCUUUGCGCUCUUUCUUGAUCUAGCAAGGACCCUGGCAUGAUGAUUGUAAGUGGCCCGUCUUGAAACACGGACCAAGGAGUCCAACGCUCACGCGAGUAUUUGGGUGGCAAACCCAAGUGCAUAAUGAAAGUGAAUGGAGGUGGGAAUUUACUACCCUUUUGUCUGCUCCUUUCGGGGUUUGGGUGAGAGGGAACUUGGUAAAUGCACCAUCGACCGAUCCUGAUAUUUAUGGAUGGAUUUGAGUAUGAGCGUGAUAGUUGGGACCCGAAAGAUGGUGAACUAUGCCUGCUUAGGCUGAAGUCAGGGGAAACCCUGAUGGAGGGCCGCAGCGGUUCUGACGUGCAAAUCGAUCGUC
RNAcentral lists this ribosomal RNA (917 nucleotides) under Camptomyces sp. DH-2018a. RNAcentral describes it as "LSU rRNA". It matches the Rfam family "Eukaryotic large subunit ribosomal RNA", at positions 92 to 906 of the family's 3401-position model. The record is from RNAcentral. Lineage: Eukaryota; Fungi; Ascomycota; Laboulbeniomycetes; Laboulbeniales; Laboulbeniaceae.